This is a non-coding RNA of Acanthosepion pharaonis, 86 nucleotides long. Lineage: Eukaryota; Metazoa; Mollusca; Cephalopoda; Sepiida; Sepiidae. The record is from the annotation of a GenBank genome assembly.
UAAAACACUGUUUCUCAUCCAAUCACAGCAGUUAAACAACGUAAAGCCUGGUCAGUACUUAGAUGGGUGACCACUUGGGAAUACCA